This is a long non-coding RNA of Eriocheir sinensis (Chinese mitten crab), 531 nucleotides long. RefSeq lists it as uncharacterized. The record is from RefSeq and is a predicted model, not a curated record. NCBI's taxonomy places the organism in Eukaryota, Metazoa, Arthropoda, Malacostraca, Decapoda, Varunidae. The transcript has 2 exons.
UGGCGCCACAGUCAGUAACUGACGUCUGUCUUUUGAAGUUGAUAUGGCGUCGGCGGAAUUCUGUUUGUGCGGUUCUCUUUGGAAAAUCGGGUGCCUGGCGUGUGCUUCGACUGCGCUAUGUACUCCUGGAACGUUCCUUCUAUGUCACCGCCGAGUGGCCUAAGACCAUCCACAUGCUGCCCUGAAGACCACCCACAUGCUGCCCUGAAGACCACCUGUCAACCCGGACUCCAAAGAGAGGCUCAAAGAUGAACUCCGGGGGGCAGUAUGAGCCAAAACAAGAUGGCGCCACUAUGACAACUCGCCUGCGCCACAACGGGCUGGGCCGACCAAUAGGCCCCCACCAGUGAAAAAAGCCUAACGGCGCAAUAGGCCGCGACUUAAAAAAAAAAAUGCGUCACUUGGCUUGCAUAAGACUUCAUUAAUACAUUUCAGCCAUAUGGAUACAUUUUGCAAUAUACCAAUGCUGUAUUUUGUAAGUUAUGUUAUUUGUAUAUUGCUUAUGACAUAUAGUACAGUUACUCAUUUAAA